This 545-nucleotide long non-coding RNA is filed under the name Olea europaea subsp. europaea. Lineage: Eukaryota; Viridiplantae; Streptophyta; Magnoliopsida; Lamiales; Oleaceae. The record is from RNAcentral.
GAUAGAUUUGACAUUUGUACGUAUAUCAAUUUGAUAAAAACUAAAAGAAGACAACAUUUAUUUAUUUCAUUAUAUAUUCGAACCAAAUUUAUUCAAAUAUAAACCAUAAUACUUGUAUUUAAAGAUGGCUACAUUUCCUCAACGUAGUCUUGAAGCAAAGUAAUUAAAGCCAGUUUAAUGUAGUCUUCAGCAGAGGUCUACAUUUUAUUUUAAUUAAGCACAAUUUAAACCCACUUUAUAGAUGAAUAAGUAAUUUAUUCUCUUACUGUAGUAGCAAAGCAUCAAGCAAUUACUGUCUCCUUGACUAAAGGCUCCUCGUCUGUUGCACCGGCCAUCACCUCCUCAGUAAUUUUUGUUGUAACAGAUCUUGCCACUGCAAUAUAUGAAGGUAAAUUUUAUUGCAAACAUAAGGGAGCUUUUUGUCUUGCCAACUUAUCAUUAAGUUUAUGAUUACAUACUUGUGCAUCGACAAACCCUUAUGCCAAGUGGUCCUGGGGCGCAUUAUCCUUGUGGCUUACCCUGAAGCGAUUAAGAUUUUUCACAAA